Molecule: small RNA, 28 nt
Filed under: Bombyx mori (domestic silkworm)
Lineage: Eukaryota; Metazoa; Arthropoda; Insecta; Lepidoptera; Bombycidae
Description: piRNA piR-bmo-1735838
Source: RNAcentral
UAUAAUGAAGAUCACGGGCCUAUGCCAA